Molecule: long non-coding RNA, 1357 nt
Organism: Mesocricetus auratus (golden hamster)
Lineage: Eukaryota; Metazoa; Chordata; Mammalia; Rodentia; Cricetidae
Exons: 3
Source: RefSeq, a predicted model, not a curated record
AGAGAUUACAAUGCUCUGUUUCUGGCACUAUCACUUUCCCUACUCACUAAAUUCACAAUGUUGCUUUGAGGAUUGAAUGGAUUAGUGUGUGGAGGAAGAACACAGAGAAGAUGGAGUCAAGAUAUAUGUGGGGAUGGGGUGUGAACCAGAGAGGAGUAAGAGCUGAAGAAUGAUGUUUGUCAUUGGUUACAGUGUUAACAGAGGCAGCCAGUGAGCCCCAUCCCUUAAACUGUACUGACUGAGUUUCUGCUUAAUAAAUCAGAAGAGUUUGGUUUGGAGACUCACUAGAAAUAUUAGGAAUAAGUGAGGGAGCCUAGAACCUUCUUCCAGUUAGAGAUUUACAAGUCCGAAAAUGAAACCAUUUUCCUUAGUGAUGGAUCAUUCGAGUUUCUAAGCAAAGACUGGGGCGGGGGCUGUUGAGUUGACACAGAAGAUGUGAUAGAUAGAGUUAAUGGUCAACUUAACAAAAACCUAGACCAGUGAGGGAUUCUCAAUUUGUGGGUCCUGAGCCCAAUCAGAUGUUUAUAUUAUGAUCCAUAACAGAAGCAAAAUUACAGUUAUGAAGUAAUAACAGAACACUUUUAUGGUUGGGGGUCACCACAACAUGAAGAACUGUAUUAAAGGGUCACAGCAUUAGAAAGGUGGAGAACCACCACCUAGAGUUGCCUAAGAGAUGGACUGUUGGACAUGUCUGUGGUGGGUUAAGUGGAUUAGUUGAGGUUGGAAGUCCUGCCCGCUGUAGAUGGCACCAUUCACAGUGCUUUUCCAUUUUAAGAGUUACAACACUAUGAUAAUGAAAUCAGAUGCUGUUUUUUUUCUCUACCCCUUAGCUAUCCCAGCAUGGAGGCACCAAAAUUAUCUACAAGCAGCACUCUGGGUGUGGGUACAUUCGUUUUAAUGAUGGUCAGUCUCUCCUGGGAAGCUUCACAGACAGGAGCCACAACCAAUGAGCAGGACUGCGACAGAAGGACUGAUAAAGGACACACCCAGUCCAAAGGAUGCCAUGAGCACCCAGAGCUAUUCUGUCCUACUUAUUGAUGGUCGCAACAUUGCUCCCCACACAGGGGUUUUGACCACAUAUUCCACAUCUUUGCAACGUCCAUGGAUGUCAGAGAGGGUGUAAUCCCCAGAACUAGACUUCCUCACUGUGAUGACACUCCGUGUGGAUGCUGGGAACUGGGUUCUCUGCAAGAAGAGCAAAUGCUCCUAACUUCUGAGCCAUUUCUCUAGCCCCUCAAACUGUAUUUUCAGCUGGAGUAUUGUACAGACUGUGAUUUCAGCAUAUUCACUGUAUGUUAUGCUUGUCCACAAGUUAGUAUUUGCAUGAAGAGUUAAAUAAAUCAAUAUAGAAUAUGAA